Molecule: transfer RNA, 88 nt
Filed under: Parazoarcus communis
Lineage: Bacteria; Pseudomonadati; Pseudomonadota; Betaproteobacteria; Rhodocyclales; Zoogloeaceae
Also listed under: 2 other names
Description: Azoarcus communis tRNA
Rfam family: tRNA
About the family: Transfer RNA (tRNA) molecules are approximately 80 nucleotides in length. Their secondary structure includes four short double-helical elements and three loops (D, anti-codon, and T loops).
Source: Rfam by way of RNAcentral
GGAGAGGUGGAUGAGUGGUUUAAGUCGCACGCCUGGAAAGCGUGUUUGGGAUAAUAUCCCAACGCGGGUUCGAAUCCCGCCCUCUCCG